Molecule: ribosomal RNA, 2946 nt
Filed under: Triticum aestivum (bread wheat)
Lineage: Eukaryota; Viridiplantae; Streptophyta; Magnoliopsida; Poales; Poaceae
Description: partial small subunit ribosomal RNA
Source: RNAcentral
AUGGAGGUGGUGACCGGGGCGACGGGCAGCGUGCUGACCAAGGUGGGUGCGCUGCUGCAGGAUGAAUACAUCCGGCAGCAGGGGGUGCAAAAAGAUGUGGAGUCUCUCCAGAAGGAGCUCUUCUUCAUGCGGGCCGCCCUGUGCAAGGUGGCGGUGGUUCCGGCGGAGCAGCUGGACGAGCAGGUCAAGGCCUGGGCCAGCAACGUCAAGGAUCUCUCCUACGACAUGGAAGACGCCGUCGACACUUUCACUGUACGGGUGACGGCCAGCAAGGACCACGGCCGUUCAAGGAUUGCCGGCAUGGGCAAGUGGGACAGGUUCACUGCUCGAAGAGAGCUUGCGGACAUGAUUGCAGAGAUGAAGGACCUCACGAUGCAGGUCGCCGACCUGCGUGACAGGUACAAGCUCGACGACAUCAGUGUGAUGAAUACUACAGAGCAGGUGCAAGAAGUGAAGGAAGUCGUCUCAAGAAACUUUCAACUGUGGAUAUGGUGGCGUCAAUGCAUUUCUUACAGGAUUCGAGAAGUUUGGGCGGGGUGGCAUAGGGGCGUCAGUGGAUUUAUUCUUGCGGCCACUGGCAGCCGGGAGAUCCCCACUCCGAGCUUGGGUUCGAUCAACGGGAUGGAGGACGAUUCAGCUAGGAUGAGGGAUGAUAUGAAGGAGCUCCACGACUGGCUUAACAAAAAAAAUAAGGGUGGUGUGCUUUACGUCAUUGGUGAUGAAGGGGUUGGCAAGACCACCGUCGCCAAGUAUUUGUACCACAAGUUCGGUCAUCUAUUUGACCGCCGGGCGAUAGUAAUGGCAUCAUCUUGGGGCCAUGAUGACAAAGCCAUCGUAGAUAAGAUUAAGAAACAACUCCGUUUGGACCUCAAACGUCCUACGGCAGGUGAAACUUCCCUCAGGCUCCUGCUGUUAAUUGAUGGUGUCGAGUCUGAAGACACGUGGGAGAAAAUUGAAGAAGCUCUAUUUAAAUCCAAAUUACUGCCUGCUGGUAGUCAUAGCAAAACUAUAGUCACAACAAGGCAUUCAGCGGUUGCUUCCGCAUGGAAAAAAGAAAAUGGCGAUUUGAAGCACCCUCAAACCGCUGGUGAGACAGAAGAAGCCAAGUGCAUAUUCAUGCAGGCUUUGGGGGAAUCAACAAGAGGUGAUGAGGCAGAAGAUAAUAUUCCGCCUAGGGUGUGGGAGAUGUGUGCAAAGCAGCCAGUGGCCACAAUUGCCAUGGCUGGUUAUGCCGCCUGCAACCGAGGAAAGUCUCAGGAUGCAUGGAGAGAAGUUUGUAAUAAGCUGUUGCCGGAGUCUGUGAAAGAACUUACCCGGGGCGACAUCCCUAGGGUUCUUAGCCAUUGCUACCGUGAUAUGUCUGCCGAGCUCGAGACCUGCUUCCUGUAUCUAAGCAUGUUCAAGAAAGAAUCAAGUGUGAGCAGGAAGCAUCUGGCUAGGAGGUGGAUAGCAGAAGGGUUCGUGGGGGAGAAGCCAGGGAGGAGCGUGGAAGAGGUGGCGGAUGGUUACUUUGACCAGCUCGUGUCGAGGAAGCUCGUACAGCCGGUGGGUACAAGCAAGAAUGGCAAGGUGAUGAACUGUCAAGUUUAUGGCAUGGUUCACGACUUCAUCGUGUCCCAGGCAAGCCAAGAGAACUUGGUCACGGUGGCUGGUGGUGAUUCGCCUUCGCCACCGCCUAACGGCAAAGUCCGCCGGCUAUCCCUCUCCAUUCCCGCAUCUCCAGAUGAAGAAGAUCCAGGUGCCGGCAAGAACAUGCCCCAUGUCAGGUCGCUGGCCGUGUUCACCGCAAGAAAGCCGACUUCAACUUUACCGGCCCAACGGCUGCCUUCAGCUUUACUGAGCUCUCCGAUCAUACAAGUGCUAGAUCUUCAAGGCUGCAAGGGUGUCAAGGUAACAAAGAGACACAUGGAGGUGAUCUGCAAGAUGUUUCUUCUCAAGUACCUGAGCCUCCGAAGGACAAUCAUUGAGGCAAUUGGAAGGAACAUCGAGAGGCUCAAGAACUUGGAGACACUCGACGUUAGGGAGACUAAAGUUCAAUCGCUGCCAGAUACUAUAUGGAAGCUUCAGAAGCUAGUCAACAUACUUGGAGGGAACAAGAAAAAAAAAUUCGAGCCACUCCAGUUGAAGCUACCAGCUGAUGCCAAGGCCAAGAACCACCCCUGCAAGCCUGACGGUGUUACAAUGAAAGCCCUGCGCGUGCUAUCUGGAAUUGAGAUGACCCCAAAUUUGGCGAGGUGUCUCGAGCGUCUGACUAAUCUGAGGAAGUUGGCCAUCUACAAGGUCAGCGACACCGAGUCCAACAAGCUAGAAUUAUUCCGUCUUGGGUACCUACGGACCCUGGUGAUCAUAGCCGGUGGUGAAGCCAACAUAGAUGAGUUACUCAGCAGCCACGAUAUUCAAGCUUCCUCUUUGACGUCUCUUGCUGAUCUUCGGUUAUGUGGCAAGUUAGAGGAAGUCCCCACAUGGAUCCAAGAACUCACAGAUCUCACAAAACUGACCCUCCCCAUCACAGUUUUAACAAAUCGAGAACUGCUCGCUAAGCUUGCCAACAUGAAGAAACUCUUCUCGCUCACCUUCUCAACUCCCACAACUCUAGCUCCAGCUCCAGCUCCAGUGGGUACCAGUACCACCGAGAACAACUUUGAGGAGAUCAUCUUCUAUAGUGAAGGGUUUGCUAAUCUCAAGCUCCUCGAAUUCAUUGCUCCCUUGAUACAGCCCCUGAGCUUUCUCGACAACGCAAUGUCACAGCUGGAAAGGAUUCAUCUUCACUUCACCAACUUUCAAGGCCUGCAUGGCAUUCACAACCUGCGAAGGCUCCAGGAGGUGCACAUCGAGGUAAAAUACGAUGCAGAUGAUUUUACCACAUCCAUGCUACGUAAUCUUCUGGAGUCAGCCAUGCAAGAUGAUGCCAAGGCACCCAGGAUAACUCGUGACUGGUUUGAUUGA